CCGGCCUUCAGGCAGUUAUUUUUGGGUGCGGCUUUGCCCGCGGCCUACUUUUGGCACACGGAGGCUCCUCGCAAAGUCUGGCGCCAUUCCGAGUCCGGCGGACGAAGUUGGCCAGCCCCACCCCCCAAGGCUAUAGCCCACCCAUUUUUGAGGCCUUUUUCAGCUGGACGAACUUGGCGCCCCGGCCUUCGGGCGGUUAUUUUUGGGCGCGGCUUUGCCCGUGGCCUAUUUUUGGCACACGGAGGCCCCUCGCAAAGUCUCACGGCAUUUCCGAGUCCGGCGGACGAAGUUGGCCAGCCCCACCCCCCAAGGCUAUAGCCGACCCGUUUUUGUGGCUUUUUCCGCUGGACGAACUUGGCGCCCCGGCCUUCGGGCUGUUAAUUUUGGGCGCGGCUUUGGCCGCUGCCUAUUUUUGGCACACAGUGGCCCCUCGUAAAGUCUCGCGGCAUUCCGAGUCCGGCGGACGAAGAUGGCCAGCCCCACCCCCCAAGGCUAUAGCCCACCCGUUUUUGUGGCCUUUUUCCGCUGGACGAACUUGGCGCCCCGGCCUUCGGGCGGUUAUUUUUGGGCGCGGCUUUGGCCGCUGCCUAUUUUUGGCACACAGAGGCCCCUCAUAAAGUCUCGCGGCAUUCCGAGUCCGGCGGACGAAGAUGGCCAGCCCCACCCCCCAAGGCUAUAGCCCACCCGUUUUUGUGGCCUUUUUCCGCGGGACGAACUUGGCGCCCCGGCCUUCGGGCGGUUAUUUUUUGGUGCGGCUGUGCCCGCGGCCUAUUUUUGGCACACGGAGGCGCCUCGCAAAGUCUCGCGCCAUUCCGUGUCCGGCGGAUGAAGUGGGCCAGCCCCAGCCCCCAAGGCUAUAGCCCACCCGUUUUUGUGGCCUUUUUCCGGUGGACGAACUUGACGCCCUGACCUUCGGGCGGUUAUUUUUGGGCGCGGCUGUGCCUGCGGCCUAUUUUUUGCACACGGAGGCACCUCGCAAAGUCUCGCGCCAUUCUGAGCCCGGCGGACGAAGUUGUCCUGCCCCACACCCCAAGGCUAUAGCCCACCCGUUUUUGUGGGCUUUUUCUGCAGGACGAACUUGGCGCCCCGGCCUUCGGCGGUUAUUUUUGGGCGCGGCCUUGCCCGUGGCCUAUUUUUGGCCCAGGGAGGCCCCUCGCAAAGUCUCGCGGCAUUCCGAGUCCGGCGGACGAAGUUGGCCAGCCCCACCCCCCAAGGCUAUAGCCCACCCGUUUUUGUGGCUAUUUUCCCCUGGACGAACUUGGCGCCCCGGGCUUCGGGCGGUUAUUUUUUGGCGCGGCUNNNNNNNNNNNNNNNNNNNNNNNNNNNNNNNNNNNNNNNNNNNNNNNNNNNNNNNNNNNNNNNNNNNNNNNNNNNNNNNNNNNNNNNNNNNNNNNNNNNNNNNNNNNNNNNNNNNNNNNNNNNNNNNNNNNNNNNNNNNNNNNNNNNNNNNNNNNNNNNNNNNNUAUUUUUGGGUACGGCUUUGUCCGUGGCCGUUUUUUGGCACACGGAGGCCCCUCGCCAAGUCUCGCGGCAUUCCGAGUCCGGCGGACGAAGUCGUCAGCCCCACCCCCCAACGCUAUACCCCACCCGUUUUUGUGGCCCUUUUGCGCUGGACAAACUUGGCGCCCCGGGCUUCGGGCAGUUAUUUUUGGGCGCGGCUUUGCCCGCGGCCUAUUUUUGGCACAUGGAGGCCCCUCGCAAAGUCUUACGGCAUUCCGAGUCCGGCGGACGAAGUCGGCCAGCCCCACCCCCCAAGGCUAUAUAGCCCACCCGUUUUUGUGGCCUUUUUCCGCUGGACGAACUUGGCGCCACGACCUUCGGGCGUUAUUUUUGGGUGCGGCUGAGUCCUUUUCAUAUUUUUGGCGCACGGAGGUGCCUCGCAAAGUCUCGCGCCAUUCCGAGUCCGGCGGACGAAGUUGGCCAGCCCCACCACCCAAGGCUAUAGCCCACCCGUUUUUGUGGCCUUUUUCCGCGGGACGAACUUGGUGCCCCGGCCUUCGGGCGGUUAUUUUUGGGUGCGGCUGUGCCCGUGGCCUAUUUUUGGCACACGGAGGUGCCUCGCAAAGUCUCGCGCCAUUCCGAGUGCUGCGGACGAAUUUGGCCAGCCCCACCCCCCAAGGCUAUAGCCCACCCGUUUUUGUGGCCUUUUUCCACUGGACGAACUUGGCGCCCCGGCCUUCGGGUGGUUAUUUUUGGGCGCGGCUGUACCCGUGGCCUAUUUUCAGCACACGGAGGUGCCUCGCAAAGUCUCGCGCCAUUCCGAGUCCGGCGGACGAUGUUGGCCAGCCCCACCCCCCAAGGCUAUAGCCCACCCGUUUUUGUGGCCUUUUUCCACUGGACGAACUUGGUGCCCCGGCCUUCGGGGGUUAUUUUUGGGCGCGGCUGUGGCCGCGGCCUAUUUUUGGCACACGGAGGUGCCUCGCAAUGUCUCGUGCCAUUCCGAGUCCAGCGGACGAAGUUGGCCAGCCCCAGCCCCACCCCCCAAGGCUAUAUAGCCCACCCGUUUUUGUGGCCUUUUUCCCUGGACGAACUUGGCGCCACGACCUUCGGGCGUUAUUUUUGGGCGCGGCUGAGUCCUUUUCAUAUUUUUGGCGCACGGAGGUGGCUCGCAAAGUCUCGCGCCAUUCCGAGUCCGGCGGACGAAGUUGGCCAGCCCCACCACCCAAGGCUAUAGCCCACCCGUUUUUGUGGCCUUUUUCCGCGGGACGAACUUGGUGCCCCGGCCUUCGGGCGUUAUUUUUGGGCGCGGCUGAGUCCUUUUCCUAUUUUUGGCGCACGGAGGUGCCUCGCAAAGUCUCGCGCCAUUCCGAGUCCGGCGGACGAAGUUGGCCAGCCCCACCACCCAAGGCUAUAGCCCACCCGUUUUUGUGGCCUUUUUCCGCUAGACGAACUUGGCGCCCCGCCCUUCGGGCGGGUAUUUUUGAGCACUGCUGUGCCUGCGGCCUAUUUUGGCACACGGAGGCACCUAGCAAGGUCUCUCUCCAUUCCGAGUACGGCGGACGAAGUUGGCCAGCCCCACCCCCUAAGGCUACAGCCCACUCGUUUUUGUGGGCUUUUUCUGCUGGACGAACUUGGCACCCCAGCCUUUGGGUGGUUAUUUUUGGACGCGGCUGUGCCCGCGGCCUAUUUUUGUCACACGGAGGUGCCUCGCAAAGUCUCGCGCCAUUCCGAGUCCGGCGGACAAAGUUGGCCAGCCCCACCCCCCAAGGCUAUAGCCCACCCGUUUUUGUGGCCUUUUUCCGCUGGACGAACUUGGCGCCACGACCUUCGGGCGUUAUUUGUGGGCGCGGCCGAGUCCGGGUCCUAUUUUUGGCGCACGGAGGUGCCUCACAAAGUCUCGCGCUAUUCCGAGUCCGGCGGACGAAGUUGGCCAGCCCCACCCCCCAAGGUUAUAGCCCACCCGGUUUUGUGGCCUUUUUCCGCUAGACGAACUUGGCGCCCUGGCCUUCGGGCUGGUAUUUUUGAGCACUGCUGUGCCCGCGGCCUAUUUUUGGCACACGGAGGCACCUCGCAAGGUCUCUCUCCAUUCCGAGUCCGGCGGACGAAGUUGGCGAGCCCCACCCCCCAAGGCUAUAGCCCACCCGUUUUUGUGGCCUUUUUCCGCUGGACGAACUUGGCGCCCCGUCCUUCGGGCGGUUAUUUUUGGGCGCGGCUGUUCCCACGGCCUAUUUUUGCCACACGGAGGUGCCUCGCAAAGUUUCGCGCCAUUCCGAGUGCUGCGGACGAAUUUGGCCAGCCCCACCCCCCAAGGCUAUAGCCCACCCGUUUUUGUGGCCUUUUUCCGCUGGACGAACUUGGCGCCCCGGCCUUCGGGCGGUUAUUUUUGGGCGCGGCUGUGCCCGCGGCCUAUUUUUGGCACACGGAGGCACCUCGCAAAGUCUCACGCAAUUCCGAGUCCGGCGGACGAAGUCGGCCAGCCCCACCCCCCAAGGUUAUAACCCACCCGUUUUUGUGGCCUUUUUCCGCUAGACGAACUUGGCGCCCCGCCCUUCGGGCGGGUAUUUUUCAGUACUGCUGUGCCUGCGGCCUAUUUUUGGCAUACGGAGGCACCUAGCAAGGUCUCUCUCUAUUCCGAGUCCGGCGGACGAAUUUGGCCAGCCCCACCCCCCAAGGCUAUAGCCCACCCGUUUUUGUGGCCUUUUUCCACUGGACGAACUUGGCGCGCCGGCCUUCGGGUGGUUAUUUUUGGGCGCGGCUGUACCCGCGGCCUAU
RNAcentral lists this long non-coding RNA (4212 nucleotides) under Citrus x clementina. RNAcentral describes it as "Citrus clementina (C. clementina) long non-coding RNA (CCLE_LNC006152)". The record is from RNAcentral. Lineage: Eukaryota; Viridiplantae; Streptophyta; Magnoliopsida; Sapindales; Rutaceae.